CCUAGAAUAAAUCUGAGGUGUAACCUGCCCAAUGAUUUUUAAUUUAAUAAGGAAGUAAUUAUCUAAAAUAAAAUUUAAAGGACGCAGUAACCUGACUGUGGUAAUGUAGCAUAAUCACUCGCCAUUUGAUUGGUGGAUAGUAUGAACGGUUGAACGAAUUCCCCACUGUCUCAAAAAAAGAAUUCAUGAAAUUAAAAUAAUAGUAAAGAUGCUAUUUAAAAUUGUAAGACGAAAAGACCCUAUAGAGCUUAACUAUGAUUUCCUUAAAAAUAAAGAAUGAAUAUUCAAAAAUAGGGAAACGGGUAGUUUAGUUGGGGCGACUGUCUUCUAAAAAGAACGAAGAUAAGCAAUAUUAAUAAAAUUUAUUGUAUAAUAAAUAAAUUUAACAAUUACAAAAGUAGGCUAUAAUGACCCGUUAUAAGUAAGUGACACCAAUAACGAUCAAUAAAUAAAAGCUACCUUAGGGAUAACAGGAUAAUUUUGUUUUAGAGACCAUAUCGAAAACAAAGUUUGUCACCUCGAUGUUGAAUUAAGAUAUCCUAAUAGUGCAAAAGCUAUUAAAGGUAGGUCUGUUCGACCUUUAAAAU
RNAcentral lists this ribosomal RNA (587 nucleotides) under Lepidopora cf. sarmentosa AL-2008. RNAcentral's name for it is "partial 16S large subunit ribosomal RNA". It matches the Rfam family "Bacterial large subunit ribosomal RNA", at positions 1835 to 2594 of the family's 2925-position model. Lineage: Eukaryota; Metazoa; Cnidaria; Hydrozoa; Anthoathecata; Stylasteridae. The record is from RNAcentral.